AUUGAACGCUGGCGGAAUGCUUUACACAUGCAAGUCGAACGGCAGCACGGGGGCAGCCCUGGUUGCGCGUGGCGAACGGGUGAGUAAUACAUCUGAACGUGCUCGGUCGUGGGGGAGAACGUAGCGAGAGUUACGCUAAUACCGCAUACGAGCUGCUGCUGAAAGCUGGGGACCUUCGGGCCUCGCGCGCUGGUAGCGGCCGAUGUCAGGUUAGUUAGUUGGUGGGUGAAAGGCCUACCAAGCCGGCGAUCUGUAGCUGGUCUGACAGGACGAGCAGCCACACUGGGACUGAGACACGGCCCAGAGUCCUACGGGACGCAGCAGUGGGGAAUUUUAGACAAUGGGCGCAAGCCUGAUCCAGUCAUUGCGCGUGCAGGACGAAGGCCUUCGGGUUGUAAACUGCUUUUGUGCGGAACGAAAAGGCUCUGGCUAAUACCUGGGGCUCAUGACGGUACCGUAAGAAUAAGCACCGGCUAACUACGUG
RNAcentral lists this ribosomal RNA (484 nucleotides) under uncultured bacterium. Its description in RNAcentral is "partial 16S ribosomal RNA". It matches the Rfam family "Bacterial small subunit ribosomal RNA", at positions 30 to 507 of the family's 1533-position model. The record is from RNAcentral.